UACAGAGGGUGCAAGCGUUAAUCGGAAUUACUGGGCGUAAAGCGCACGUAGGUGGAUGCUUAAGUCGGAUGUGAAAUCCCCGAGCUUAACUUGGGAAUUGCAUUCGAUACUGGGCGUCUAGAAUAUAGUAGAGGGAAGUGGAAUUUCUGGUGUAGCGGUGAAAUGCGUAGAUAUGAGAAGGAACAUCAGUGGCGAAGGCGGCUUCCUGGACUAAUAUUGACGCUUAGGUGCGAAAGCGUGGGGAGCAAACAGG
RNAcentral lists this ribosomal RNA (253 nucleotides) under uncultured bacterium. RNAcentral describes it as "partial 16S ribosomal RNA". It matches the Rfam family "Bacterial small subunit ribosomal RNA", at positions 524 to 776 of the family's 1533-position model. The record is from RNAcentral.